RNAcentral lists this small nucleolar RNA (107 nucleotides) under Gossypium hirsutum (cotton). Its description in RNAcentral is "Plant small nucleolar RNA R71". It matches the Rfam family "Plant small nucleolar RNA R71". Rfam says of the family: R71 is a member of the C/D box family of snoRNAs containing the C (UGAUGA) and D (CUGA) box motifs. Lineage: Eukaryota; Viridiplantae; Streptophyta; Magnoliopsida; Malvales; Malvaceae. The record is from Rfam by way of RNAcentral.
AACCCAUGGUGAGGGCACCUUCUUAGCAAGUCCUUGUAUCUCUCCCAUGCAUCGUAAAGUGUUUCUAAAUCCAUCUACACAAAAGAAAAGAUAUCACUACGUAAUUU